GACGAACGCUGGCGGCGUGCUUAACACAUGCCAGUCGAACGGACAGACCCUGCUUCUUUCGCGUGCUCGCGUGGCGAACGGAUGAGUGACUAGUGAGUAACCUACCCUUGUAUUUGGGUUGACUUACGGCGAGUGAGGCUAAUACCGGCUAGGAGCUACUGAUGCAUGCUUGGGGUUGUAAAGUUUGCGCGUUAGGGGAUGGCUGCGGGGUUUACCAGCGUGUUGGUGGAGUAGUGGCUUACCAACGGAUUGCCAGGUAGCCGGCCUGGGAGGGUGGCCGGCGACAAUAGUACUGAGGUACGGCCCAGACUCCUACCGGAGGCAGCAGUGGAGAAUAUUGCAGAAUGGGCGGAAGCGUGAGGCAGCGACGCCGCGUGCGGGAUGACGGCCUUCGGGUUGUAAACCGCUUUCGCCGGUGACGAAGCGAGAGUGACGGUAAUGUGUAAAGAAGCACCGGCUAACUACGUG
Molecule: ribosomal RNA, 468 nt
Filed under: uncultured bacterium
Lineage: Bacteria
Description: partial 16S ribosomal RNA
Rfam family: Bacterial small subunit ribosomal RNA
Source: RNAcentral